GCCCGCGGCUUUUCUAACACAUGCAACCUCGAGCGGAUGAAGGGAGCUUGCUCCUGGAUUCAGCGGCGGACGGGUGAGUAAUGCCUAGGAAUCUGCCUGGUAGUGGGGGAUAACGUCCGGAAACGGGCGCUAAUACCGCAUACGUCCUGAGGGAGAAAGUGGGGGAUCUUCGGACCUCACGCUAUCAGAUGAGCCUAGGUCGGAUUAGCUAGUUGGUGGGGUAAAGGCCUACCAAGGCGACGAUCCGUAACUGGUCUGAGAGGAUGAUCAGUCACACUGGAACUGAGACACGGUCCAGACUCCUACGGGAGGCAGCAGUGGGGAAUAUUGGACAAUGGGCGAAAGCCUGAUCCAGCCAUGCCGCGUG
RNAcentral lists this ribosomal RNA (367 nucleotides) under Pseudomonas sp. CPO14. RNAcentral's name for it is "bacterial SSU rRNA". It matches the Rfam family "Bacterial small subunit ribosomal RNA", at positions 35 to 403 of the family's 1533-position model. Lineage: Bacteria; Pseudomonadati; Pseudomonadota; Gammaproteobacteria; Pseudomonadales; Pseudomonadaceae. The record is from RNAcentral.